GGUGUGCCUAAGAAAAGCCAUGGGAUCGGAUAUUUGAGGCCAUGGGUCAGCUUAGAAGAGACCGUGGAUGGCCUUAGGUGUUUUAUGCUUGGUGUUAUUCCAUCAACUUCCUACAAGAUGUGAUGGAUUUGGACUUAGAGAAUCGUGUUAUUAUAACCGCCACUUGAAGGACUAAAGCAGUAGGAAUUGUUACAUGAGGAGCACGGAUCGUAGGAGCACUGUUCCUCCGAUACUAUGAUUAACCCCCCAAGCAUGGAGUCACUUGAGGAACAUGAGUCCCCUGGGAAGCUAUUGGUAGCAUUAUAACUAGAGUUACAGGUACUACCAUAUGAGAGACUGGUAAAGCUAUCUGAGGAACCUAUACUGUAG
RNAcentral lists this unclassified non-coding RNA (369 nucleotides) under Hevea brasiliensis (rubber tree). The record is from RNAcentral. Lineage: Eukaryota; Viridiplantae; Streptophyta; Magnoliopsida; Malpighiales; Euphorbiaceae.